This 239-nucleotide ribosomal RNA is filed under the name uncultured bacterium. RNAcentral describes it as "partial 16S ribosomal RNA". It matches the Rfam family "Bacterial small subunit ribosomal RNA", at positions 333 to 564 of the family's 1533-position model. The record is from RNAcentral.
UCAGUCCUACGGGAGGCAGCAGUAGGGAAUCUUCCACAAUGGACGAAAGUCUGAUGGAGCAACGCCGCGUGAGUGAAGAAGGGUUUCGGCUCGUAAAGCUCUGUUGGUAGGGAAGAAAGAUAGAGGUAGUAACUGGCCUUUAUUUGACGGUAAUUACUUAGAAAGUCACGGCUAACUACGUGCCAGCAGCCGCGGAAAUAAGGAGGUGGCAAGCGUAGUCCGGAUUUAUUGGGGGGAAA